This 221-nucleotide ribosomal RNA is filed under the name uncultured bacterium. RNAcentral's name for it is "partial 16S ribosomal RNA". It matches the Rfam family "Bacterial small subunit ribosomal RNA", at positions 111 to 334 of the family's 1533-position model. The record is from RNAcentral.
UAAUGUAUGGGGAUCUGCCCGAUAGAGGGGGAUAACUACUGGAAACGGUGGCUAAUACCGCAUAAUGUCUACGGACCAAAGCAGGGGCUCUUCGGGACCUUGCACUAUCGGAUGAACCCAUAUGGGAUUAGCUAGUAGGUGGGGUAAAGGCUCACCUAGGCGACGAUCUCUAGCUGGUCUGAGAGGAUGAUCAGCCACACUGGGACUGAGACACGGCCCAG